Molecule: unclassified non-coding RNA, 616 nt
Filed under: Hevea brasiliensis (rubber tree)
Lineage: Eukaryota; Viridiplantae; Streptophyta; Magnoliopsida; Malpighiales; Euphorbiaceae
Source: RNAcentral
CGGCAUUUAGAGUUGUUGCGGACAAUUAUGUGACUGAUGAUAGUGGUACUGGAAUUGUUCAUUGUGCUCCUGCAUUUGGUGAAGAUGAUUAUCGUGUUUGCAUUGAAAAUCAAAUAAUCAAUAAGGGAGAAAUUUUGAUUGUAGCUGUUGAUGAUGAUGGCUGCUUUACUGAAAGAAUUACUGAUUUUAGUGGGCGAUAUGUCAAGGAUGCGGACAAGGAUAUUAUUGAAAAUGUGAAGGCAAGAGGCAGGCUUGUGAAGUCUGGUAGCUGCACACACUCUUAUCCCUUUUGUUGGAGGUCUGAUACUCCUCUUAUUUAUAGAGCUGUUCCAAGCUGGUUUGUUAGAGUGGAAGAUUUAAAAGCAAAAUUGCUAGAAAACAACAAACAGACAUAUUGGGUUCCUGAUUAUGUAAAGGAAAAACGGUUCCACAAUUGGCUGGAAAAUGCAAGAGAUUGGGCUGUUAGUCGAAGUCGAUUUUGGGGGACACCUCUUCCUGUAUGGACUAGUGAGGAUGGUGAAGAAGUAAUUGUCAUGGACUCUGUUGCUAAGCUUGAAAAGCUUUCUGGUGCUAAGGUUUUUGAUCUGCAUCGGCACAAUAUUGAUCACAUAACUAU